RNAcentral lists this ribosomal RNA (253 nucleotides) under uncultured bacterium. RNAcentral's name for it is "partial 16S ribosomal RNA". It matches the Rfam family "Bacterial small subunit ribosomal RNA", at positions 524 to 776 of the family's 1533-position model. The record is from RNAcentral.
UACAGAGGCUCCAAGCAUUACCCGGAAUUAUUGGGCGUAAAGGGUGUCUAGGCGGCCAUAUUAGUCUCUCGUUAAAUCCGUGGGCUCAACCUACGGUCUGUGAGGGAAACGGUAUGGCUCGAGGGCGUGAGAGGUGCAUGGAACUCAUGGUGGAGGGGUGAAAUCCGUUGAUAUCAUGGGGAACACCAAAGGCGAAGGCAAUGCACUGGUACGUUCCUGACGCUCAAACACGAAAGCCAGGGUAGCGAACGGG